Triticum dicoccoides is the source of this 1324-nucleotide long non-coding RNA. RefSeq lists it as uncharacterized. The transcript has 6 exons. Lineage: Eukaryota; Viridiplantae; Streptophyta; Magnoliopsida; Poales; Poaceae. The record is from RefSeq and is a predicted model, not a curated record.
ACCCGAAUCCUCGUGCCCUCGACGCGGCCUCGGAGACCCGCCAUUGCGGAACCCCUCCAUCUCUCAGACCACAUCGCCGCCGCCGCCGACCUCUCCCAGUCCCUCUCGUACCACGCCGCCGGCCCCCCUCCCCUCCCCUCCCCUCAUCAGAAAGAAGGAGAGACAGGGAUGCUCUUCCUCAGACGGCGGCGGCGGCCAGAUCGAGCAGGGCAGGGCACCACACGGCGCUCUCCGAUCCGCCACGGUCGCAAGAGGAAUCGCGCCGGAUGGGAGAGGACCGUCUGCUACGACUGCUUCGUGCGUCGUUGUUGGAGAUGCUCGCGCGCCGGGAGCUUCCUCCGCUCUCCCCCUGCCCCGACCGUAGACGCAGCAGCAGCGCACACCGCCAUUGGUUGUGGCUGGUUGUACCUCGGAGCUCCUUCCUUCCUGCUUCCCCUGAUUGCGCCUCCGGGGACUAGCGAUGAACUUGUUUUCUGGAUCCCAAAUGGAGGAUGAAGUUGAAUAUAUAUACUACAGCCGGAUGAUCAAGUCCAAGUAUUCGUAUGUUGCUAUAUUGUUAGUCACUAGCAUGUGCCCAUGGCACCCAAGCUGGCGUAGGCGCUGCAGAUUGCCCUCUCGCCAAAGCCUCAACCAGCUGGUGAAAUAGCUGCAGAAUUACAGUGUACCUCAAAUUUCAUAAUUGGGAACUGCAGUCAUGGGUAUCUUGUGGCUUCAUCAGUUCAUCACUAUCUUAUAAGGCGGGAAUUACUCAGCACAAUAUUACUCAUGCACUGGAAAAGACCAAAUAUCCAGAUCGAGACAUACUGGAGGAAAUUUGAUGAGAAGUAUCAUUUUUCUUAUUUUCAGAACACUAAGGGCAUAUUUUGGCUUGGAAUGCUGAUGGUUGGGCGAACGCCAUGGAUCAUGGCAAGUGCGAUUUUCAGAACACUAAGGGCAUAUCUUGGCUUGGAAUGCUCAUGGUUCGACGAACGUCAUGGAUCAUGGCAAGUGCUCCUCUCCACUUCCCCUCCCUGCUAAAAAUCAGUUCCAAUUGUUGUACAAGUUUCCCGAUAUGGCUUUCUGAAUUUUAAUUUGUCGCUUGUUCUGUCGUACUCGGUGGUUAUUGUUUGGCCUACAUAUAGAGGUAAAUGUUUUGUAUGAGAUUAUUUAUCCGGACCUCACCGAUGAUUACUUGAACUCAGGUUGGACAACAUAUGAAAUGUUAAAUUUAGCAAGAUAUUGCGAUUCGAUUUCUCUUUCAAUGUCAUCAUCCUGCAAUGGAUGUGUAUGUCUAUUUUGUCAUCUAGUUGCGAUGCAUGGGCACUUUCAUUUGAUUAUACAGUUC